AUGAACCAACUUAAAGUUUAUCCUUUUAGAGAUGUUGGAAAGAAGCAACAAAAUAUAAUGUCAUCCAUUGUAUGCAACCCGACUUGUGUCGUAAAGAUGUCGAUUAUGUUCCUCUGGAUAUGUCCUUCCACCAUAUCGGUCCAUAGCCAAACCUUUCCAGCUUGGAGGAAGUUCAACCUCCAUAAUCUCGUUCACAAAAGGAUGGCGUCAAGAUGUCCUUGUUCCCAUAAAGACUUGAUUAGUAAUAGUUUGAAUCCGAGGUCCUUCCCUUAAUCGAUGGGCCUUCCCAAUCCUUCCUUGUUACUUGCCUAUGUAAGUUUUCAACAUGAUGGGAGGAUUCUUCCAUUUGUCUCCUUAUUCUCUUAUUCUUCUCCCUCAACGCGUUAAUCUCUUCUUCAUUCUUAUGUCUCAUCUCCUUUAACUAUGUAUGCAUCUCCUCUUGCAUCUCUAGCAACGCCGCAUUCUGAUUUGCCAUAUUUCCUUUGGACACCAUUUUCUCCAAGUACACCUCGACCCC
Molecule: long non-coding RNA, 517 nt
Filed under: Vigna radiata
Lineage: Eukaryota; Viridiplantae; Streptophyta; Magnoliopsida; Fabales; Fabaceae
Description: long non-coding RNA (VRAD_LNC018264)
Source: RNAcentral